Molecule: ribosomal RNA, 460 nt
Filed under: uncultured bacterium
Lineage: Bacteria
Description: partial 16S ribosomal RNA
Rfam family: Bacterial small subunit ribosomal RNA
Source: RNAcentral
CCUACGGGUGGCAGCAGUGAGGAAUAUUGGUCAAUGGACGAGAGUCUGAACCAGCCAAGUAGCGUGAAGGAUGACUGCCCUAUGGGUUGUAAACUUCUUUUAUAAAGGAAUAAAACGAGGCACGUGUGCCUUUUUGCAUGUACUUUAUGAAUAAGGAUCGGCUAACUCCGUGCCAGCAGCCGCGGUAAUACGGAGGAUCCGAGCGUUAUCCGGAUUUAUUGGGUUUAAAGGGAGCGGAGAUGGGUCGUUAAGUCAGUUGUGAAAGUUUGCGGCUCAACCGUAAAAUUGCAAUUGAAACUGGAAGUCUUGAGUACAGUUGAGGUAGGCGGAAUUCGUGGUGUAGCGGUGAAAUGCUUAGAUAUCACGAAGAACCCCGAUUGCGAAGGCAGCUUACUAAACUGUGACUGACAUUGAUGCUCGAAAGUGUGGGUAUCAAACAGGAUUGGAUACCCCAGUAGUC